RNAcentral lists this ribosomal RNA (672 nucleotides) under uncultured bacterium. RNAcentral's name for it is "bacterial SSU rRNA". It matches the Rfam family "Bacterial small subunit ribosomal RNA", at positions 198 to 884 of the family's 1533-position model. The record is from RNAcentral.
GGGUAAAAGGAGUAAUUCGCUUUGGGGUGAGUUCGCGUCUGAUUAGCUAGUUGGUGAGGUAACGGCCCACCAAGGCGACGAUCAGUAGCCGGCCUGAGAGGGCGAUCGGCCACACUGGAACUGAGAAACGGUCCAGACUCCUACGGGAGGCAGCAGUGGGGAAUAUUGGGCAAUGGGGGAAACCCUGACCCAGCAACGCCGCGUGAGGGAAGAAGGCUUUCGGGUCGUAAACCUCUGUCCCAUGUGAAGAGAAGAGGACGGUAGCAUGGGAGGAAGCCCCGGCUAACUACGUGCCAGCAGCCGCGGUAAUACGUAGGGGGCGAGCGUUGUCCGGAAUGAUUGGGCGUAAAGGGCGCGUAGGCGGCUCUGUAAGUCUGGAGUGGAAGUCCCGCUUUCAAGGUGGGAAUUGCUUUGGAAACUGCGGAGCUUGAGUGUGGGAGAGGAAAGCGGAAUUCCCGGUGUAGCGGUGAAAUGCGUAGAGAUCGGGAGGAACACCAGUGGCGAAGGCGGCUUUCUGGACCAUAACUGACGCUGAUGCGCGAAAGCGUGGGGAGCAAACAGGGGGGAGAUACCCUGGUAGUCCACGCUGUAAACGAUGAAUGCUAGGUGUAGGAGGUAUCGACCCCUUCUGUGCCGGAGUUAACACAAUAAGCAUUCCGCCUGGGGAGUACG